This 1227-nucleotide ribosomal RNA is filed under the name metagenome. RNAcentral describes it as "bacterial SSU rRNA". It matches the Rfam family "Bacterial small subunit ribosomal RNA", at positions 8 to 1253 of the family's 1533-position model. The record is from RNAcentral.
AGAGUUUGAUCCUGGCUCAGGACGAACGCUGGCGGCGUGCUUAACACAUGCAAGUCGAGCGGAAAGGCCCUUCGGGGUACUCGAGCGGCGAACGGGUGAGUAACACGUGAGUAACCUGCCCCUGACUCUGGGAUAAGCCCGGGAAACUGGGUCUAAUACCGGAUCACACCUCCUCGCAUGGGGUGGGUGUGGAAAGUUUUUCGGUUGGGGAUGGACUCGCGGCCUAUCAGCUUGUUGGUGGGGUAAUGGCCUACCAAGGCGACGACGGGUAGCCGGCCUGAGAGGGCGACCGGCCACACUGGGACUGAGACACGGCCCAGACUCCUACGGGAGGCAGCAGUGGGGAAUAUUGCGCAAUGGGCGAAAGCCUGACGCAGCGACGCCGCGUGGGGGAUGACGGCCUUCGGGUUGUAAACCUCUUUCAGCAGGGACGAAGUUGACGUGUACCUGCAGAAGAAGCGCCGGCUAACUACGUGCCAGCAGCCGCGGUAAUACGUAGGGCGCAAGCGUUGUCCGGAAUUAUUGGGCGUAAAGAGCUCGUAGGUGGCUUGUCACGUCGGGUGUGAAAGCUUGGGGCUUAACUCCAGGUCUGCAUUCGAUACGGGCUGGCUAGAGGUAGGUAGGGGAGAACGGAAUUCCUGGUGUAGCGGUGAAAUGCGCAGAUAUCAGGAGGAACACCGGUGGCGAAGGCGGUUCUCUGGGCCUUACCUGACGCUGAGGAGCGAAAGCGUGGGGAGCGAACAGGAUUAGAUACCCUGGUAGUCCACGCUGUAAACGUUGGGCGCUAGGUGUGGGGACCUUCCACGGUUUCCGCGCCGUAGCUAACGCAUUAAGCGCCCCGCCUGGGGAGUACGGCCGCAAGGCUAAAACUCAAAGGAAUUGACGGGGGCCCGCACAAGCGGCGGAGCAUGUUGCUUAAUUCGACGCAACGCGAAGAACCUUACCAAGGCUUGACAUUGCCCGGAAACACUCAGAGAUGGGUGCCUCUUCGGAUCGGGUGACAGGUGGUGCAUGGCUGUCGUCGGCUCGUGUCGUGAGAUGUUGGGUUAAGUCCCGCAACGAGCGCAACCCUUGUUCAAUGUUGCCAGCAACACCUUCGGGUGGUUGGGGACUCAUUGGAGACUGCCGGGGUCAACUCGGAGGAAGGUGGGGAUGACGUCAAGUCAUCAUGCCCCUUAUGUCUUGGGCUGCAAACAUGCUACAAUGGCCGGUACAGAGGGCUGCGAU